This 497-nucleotide ribosomal RNA is filed under the name uncultured bacterium. Its description in RNAcentral is "partial 16S ribosomal RNA". It matches the Rfam family "Bacterial small subunit ribosomal RNA", at positions 28 to 507 of the family's 1533-position model. The record is from RNAcentral.
GAUGAACGCUGGCGGCGUGCCUAAUACAUGCAAGUCGAGCGAACAGACGAGGAGCUUGCUCCUCUGACGUUAGCGGCGGACGGGUGAGUAACACGUGGAUAACCUACCUAUAAGACUGGGAUAACUUCGGGAAACCGGAGCUAAUACCGGAUAAUAUAUUGAACCGCAUGGUUCAAUAGUGAAAGACGGUUUUGCUGUAACUUAUAGAUGGAUCCGCGCCGCAUUAGCUAGUUGGUAAGGUAACGGCUUACCAAGGCAACGAUGCGUAGCCGACCUGAGAGGGUGAUCGGCCACACUGGAACUGAGACACGGUCCAGACUCCUACGGGAGGCAGCAGUAGGGAAUCUUCCGCAAUGGGCGAAAUCCUGACGGAGCAACGCCGCGUGAGUGAUGAAGGUCUUCGGAUCGGAAAACUCUGUUAUUAGGGAAGAACAAAUGUGUAAGUAGCUAUGCACGUCUUGACGGUACCUAAUCAGAAAGCCACGGCUAACUACGUG